This 492-nucleotide ribosomal RNA is filed under the name uncultured bacterium. Its description in RNAcentral is "partial 16S ribosomal RNA". It matches the Rfam family "Bacterial small subunit ribosomal RNA", at positions 29 to 507 of the family's 1533-position model. The record is from RNAcentral.
AGUGAACGCUGGCGGUAGGCCUAACACAUGCAAGUCGAACGGCAGCACAGUAAGAGCUUGCUCUUACGGGUGGCGAGUGGCGGACGGGUGAGGAAUACAUCGGAAUCUACUUUUUCGUGGGGGAUAACGUAGGGAAACUUACGCUAAUACCGCAUACGACCUACGGGUGAAAGCAGGGGAUCUUCGGACCUUGCGCGAUUGAAUGAGCCGAUGUCGGAUUAGCUAGUUGGCGGGGUAAAGGCCCACCAAGGCGACGAUCCGUAGCUGGUCUGAGAGGAUGAUCAGCCACACUGGAACUGAGACACGGUCCAGACUCCUACGGGAGGCAGCAGGGGGGAAUAUUGGACAAUGGGCGCAAGCCUGAUCCAGCCAUACCGCGUGGGUGAAGAAGGCCUUCUGGUUGUAAAGCCCUUUUGUUGGGAAAGAAAAGCAGCAGGUUAAUACCCCGCUGUUCUGACGGUACCCAAAGAAUAAGCACCGGCUAACUUCGUG